RNAcentral lists this transfer RNA (70 nucleotides) under Asterorhombus intermedius (intermediate flounder). RNAcentral's name for it is "tRNA-Ile". It matches the Rfam family "tRNA". From Rfam's summary of the family: Transfer RNA (tRNA) molecules are approximately 80 nucleotides in length. The record is from RNAcentral. Lineage: Eukaryota; Metazoa; Chordata; Actinopteri; Pleuronectiformes; Bothidae.
GGACCUGAACCUAAAUUAUAGGAGUACUUUGAUAGAGUGAAAGAUGGGGGUUAAAGUCCCCUCAGCUCCG